UGUAAAAUGUAUACAAACCGCAUAGACGAGUAUAAGUGACAAAUUGUUAUUAUUAGAAAGUAAUUCAAGGUAACAUUUCGGUGUGUUUUGUGUUAAACUGACUUAAAACACUUAAUAAUUUUCAAAUGAAAACAUAUCUGACUGGAUAAUGGUCGUAAACAAACAUUUGGGAUGUGUAUUCUUCUUGCUCCUUCUUCGAGUAGAACUAUGUUUCGGACAAAGUUUUUCUGGAAACCAGUGGAACACACAACAGAUACUUGGGGUAGUAUUUGGUUGUAUAUCACUCAUUGGUCUACUAGUUACACUGAUAUGCUGUUGUAAAAACUGUCAUGAUAAGAAGAAAUUUGCUAGACAAGGUCCACAUCCAGAUGAAAGACAUUAUGAUCAAGGCUAUGAUCAAAGACAAGAUCGAGGACAUUCUAAUCAAAAUCAAGCUUACAGAAACGAACCAAGCGAAAAAAUGGGAUAUCUACAACAAGUAGAUUACUAUGGAGAUCGAUCCAGACCACCUCCAUACAGCUAUCAUUCACAACCACCUCGCAGUGGACUCGGGUAUUAUUAAUAAACGGUUCGUCGUUAUUGCUUCCAAAAAGGGGUCUGGUUUUAUUUAAAGGAGCUAGAUCACUAAUAUUCUGGACCUAGAAAUUGACACAAAUGGGUUACAACGCAUAUAAUAAUGUAAUAUUAAUGUAUAUAAACUGAUUUAUCACCCAAUAAUACAUUCUACAGUAGCUAUCGAUUGUGUGAUAAAUUCCUUGGGAGUUAUCGCUUUACAUGAAUUUGAUUGGUCAAUCAAAAAGGAACUACUUUUGUUAUUUUCAAAGAACAGUUCAUUUUUUUUAUUAAAAGUAAUUUCUUUCUUAUUAAAAAUGAACUAUUUUUAUUUAAUUGGCCUUGAUGGAAACACUGGGUCAAUAUAAAGGACUUUGCAAUGGUUAAUUCGCUGUCAAAAAUGAUGUAUCACUACGCCGUAAUGUAAUCAGGUUCAGUAGCAAAGAAUUAUAUUUAUUUAUUUAUCUGUGCAUGUAAGAAGGGUUUUUGUGAUAAAUAAAAUCUCCUACUCGUCUUUUUUGAUAUCAAAAAUAUCAACACUCGUCGAUAAGGUAAAAAAAAAAGCUCGACUUGUGUUGAUAUUUUUUGAGAUUCUCUAUUUACAUUCAAUCGUUUCUCGUUUUACUGUAAUUUCUAAUCAGUUAUGUUCGGCGAAAUACGUCAGAAGUCUCAGUUGAAUGACAAUAUCUAGUGACUGGUUAUUCCAACCUACACCGAUAGUAUUUAUUACGCAUGCUCUCCAGAUAAGAUUAUGGCGUCACCGUUUGACAUGACUUGUGGAAUAUGUCUAGCCUCUUUCUUCGAGUCCCUUGUUACAAAUGGUGGCGAAACGCAUUAUCGUGUACCAAUAGUAAAAAAUGUUUAUUUUGUCUUAAAUAGUGGAUAUCAGAGGCCCAUCUUUUCCCGGCAAGAUCACAACAUCAAAUUGAUAAAUAAUUCGUGUUUUCAAUGUCGAGGACUUUAGAUGGUAUUGAGUUAGAGACUUAGCUACUUUAAUAUUAUAUACAGUAUACAAAAACAUUUGAGGAUAAGUUAUUCGGUCCAAAUUAUUUCUCAAAAAGGCAUAAAAAUCAAACUUCUUAGGACUAUCUUUGGAUCACUAUAUGAAAUAACCUGAGACUUCAAUUACAUGAAUGUCAUGAAAUCAACAUUGACAUGCUUACAUCAACGUAUUUUACACGAUCACCAGAUCUAUAUCAGACAUUUUAUCUUAAAGAAGCGACAGAUUUUUUAUUAUUAAUCUGGGAAUAAACGUUGUAAUUGAAUUAAAAGUUGUUUAAGCACAUGUUGAUUAAAUAAAAUACACGUCA
This is a long non-coding RNA of Patella vulgata (common limpet), 1862 nucleotides long. RefSeq lists it as uncharacterized. NCBI's taxonomy places the organism in Eukaryota, Metazoa, Mollusca, Gastropoda, Patellidae. The transcript is spliced from 4 exons. The record is from RefSeq and is a predicted model, not a curated record.